Long non-coding RNA from Capsicum annuum, 2454 nucleotides. RefSeq lists it as uncharacterized. The record is from RefSeq and is a predicted model, not a curated record. NCBI's taxonomy places the organism in Eukaryota, Viridiplantae, Streptophyta, Magnoliopsida, Solanales, Solanaceae. The transcript has 2 exons.
UUAAGGCUCUAUUUAUUUAUCGAUAAUAUUCGGUUGAGUUCCGAUGAGUAAUCUAGAAUGUUCACGAAUCUGAAGAGGCUAUUAAAGUUUGCUUCGUUGUCUAUGAUGAUGGAGUUGUUUUUCAUGAAAUCCACUACUACCUUCCUGGUCACAGCUUUAUACAUGAAAAAUUAUAUCAAUUUGGCAAAAUAAUCGAUAGCGACGAAAAUGAGUAUGUGUCUAUUUGAGUUUGAUAAAUCUAUGGGUAAAUUAAUAUUCGUGCCCCAGACUACGAAGGGCCAACGUGAACUUAUAGCAUUAAGCUCAUGUGGAGCAUACUAAUCAAAUCUCUAUAUAUCUGCCACUUUUGACAUUUUUGAACAUAUUUUCUAUGGUCAUCAUCAAUUGUCAUCCAAAAGUAACAGUCUCAGAGAAUUUUCCUGAAUAGAGUGAACCUAUUCAUUUGAGGCCCAUAAACUUUGGCACGUAUCCCCACUAAUAGUUUUGUGGCUUAAAUGGAUUCUGUGCAUCUUAAUAAUCCUAAGUUUGGGGUUCUCCUAUAAAGUACCUCCUCAGUUGGGAAUUAUUUCUUCAUCAACCAUCUAAUUGUCUUUCACUGAUUGUUGUUAGCAUCUUUGGGGUAUACUAUAGAUUCUAAAUACGUUUUGUUGAACUACUGUGGCUUCCCAUCAGCUUCCACUUCAACGUGUACACAAUAUCCGAGCUGCUACCUCUCGCUUAUCUAUAAUAGAUUGAUGUAAAUUUUAUCCUGGUUUUGAAUUAUAGAAUAUCAAAAACAUCAGUAGGAUAUGUCUUAAAUUGAUUUCCUUACACUUUCCAUACAAAUCAUUCACUAAUUCUGCAUAAGUUGUGAUCUUAGAAUUUCUUACAUCCCGUAAACACCUAAUUUUAUUCCUGCCAAGUUCAAUUUUAUUUAUUUUUACCUCACUUUAUUGUACAACUUCGUUCAUGUAAUUAUACCCCAUAAAAAUACAAAAAUAAGAAACUCCCUAAUAAAUUAAAUCUCUAACAUUCCCUUAUUCCAACGAACCUUAUCCUAACAAUCUACCCCACUACACUACCCCACCUAACCCCACCCUCCUCAAACUCACGUUUUUCAUUCAUUCCUGAACGGAAGAAUAGAAUCCACUGAAUAUCCAUACAGUAAAGGGAGACAGAGGAGGGGGAUGUUUCUUUUCUUUUGAUUCAGCACAUAGACACCCAUAUAUUUAAUACACACAGCCACACAGUGAGGGACGGAGAGAGAGACGAGAGAGGAAGCAGAGAAAAACGAAGAGGGAGAGAUCGAAAUCGAAAAAAAAAAAAGAGGAAAAUAGAGAGAAACAGAGAUUGGGGACGAAACCAGUGAGUUUGAGGAGAAAAACAAAUAGAAAUCGAGGUGUUGAAUAGAAACAGUGCAAAUUCGGUUGAUUUUGGGGUUUUCCGGCAAUUUAUCGCCGGAAAAAGUUACUGUCGGCCGAAAUCUGAGCGUCUUCUCCGUUUUCCAUUCUUUCUGAACUCGCCGGAGCUCCGGCGAGACGAAAACAACUUCAUCAGCUUAAAACCAACUCAUAAACCGUGUCUUGCUCGUAUCGGUAUUAGAUUUGGACAUCUUUGUUUCGUUGGUUAUCUAUCUUCGUCUUCUUCGUGGGUUUAAAUCUUUCCGGUUGCUAUUUUUGAGUUGAGUUGGCUCGUUGUUGAGGCUUUGUCAUUCGAGGCAUUUCAGUCGGAGCUCUAAUCGAAUACUUUGACGGAUUGAAAUAAAAAUCAGGACAACAACAAAUCAACAAAAUGGACAACCCAUAUGGAAGACAAAAGCAAUGGCUAUGGCAUUAAAGAAUGACAAGUACUAAGAAGCAAGUGUUUAAUCCAAUCAAGAAGAAAUAUUCAAGAAAGAUGAAACUUCCAAGAUGACUCACUGAAGAGCAGGACAUCAAAUAAAAGAAAAGAACAAAGUAAUAAAUUCCCUACAACAAAGUCAAGUCCAAGCCUCAUUUGUAAGAAUUCAAGGCAGAAGAGAAUAAAGGAAGAAAUCUGCCACCAAAAGUCAAGGUGUGACUGCCAUAUUCUUUGAAAAAGGAUUCUCAAUUACCUUUUUCCAAGGAUCAAAAAAAUCUCGUGUUGCUAUCUUUUCAAGUUUUCCAAUGGCUAGCUUCUAUACAAAUAUAAAGAAGCCACUAGAAAAUCAGUAAGAACAUACAAACAAUCUUGGCCUCCUACAAGUCUUUGCUGUACUUGUAAAUAAGUAGUGUACUACUUAGUGUUUUAUGAUGAAACAAUAAAAGAGAGGAGAGAAAAAUACUAUUGGUGAGGCAUUGUAUUAAAGAGUAAAAAAGAAAAGAAAAGAAAAAAAGUGAGAAGAAAAAAUUGAGUGUAGUAGUAUGAACUCUAUUCUCGAAGUUGUACCAACCGAAACCUUGGAAAAACAUUGAAGUGAAGACACUUACUGCUCAUUGGAUCUCAACCAAUAUAAAA